CGCGGGGUGGAGCAGCUGGUAGCUCGUUGGGCUCAUAACCCAAAGGUCGUAGGUUCGAAUCCUACCCCCGCUACAA
RNAcentral lists this transfer RNA (76 nucleotides) under Fidelibacterota bacterium. RNAcentral describes it as "Candidatus Marinimicrobia bacterium tRNA-Met". It matches the Rfam family "tRNA". From Rfam's summary of the family: Transfer RNA (tRNA) molecules are approximately 80 nucleotides in length. Their secondary structure includes four short double-helical elements and three loops (D, anti-codon, and T loops). The record is from RNAcentral. Lineage: Bacteria; Pseudomonadati; Fidelibacterota.